UAGCGAGGGAGAUAGAUGCGGACAAAGCGAGAGAUGCUUUCUUCUUCUUUGUUUCCUUGGCUGAGUUACCCGCAAUCCAUUCUGAGAAGAAAAUCAAAUCAUGUGUAUUUGAUCUUCUCUUUUGAAGAUAUAACAGAUGUGAAGAAAAAAAAUGAAAAGAAAAAUGGAGACCAUGUUUAUAAACACAAAUUCUAGGGUUUGCUCUCUUAAUCUUUAGCUUAUCUCCUGUUCUUAUUUUGAUGUUUUCACGGUUUCUUUCUUUUUUAUCGUGACUUAAUUAUGCAACUAUGCUUGGUCAAUUUUUCUUUUGAUUGAGAACUUUAUUUAAUCGGUGAAUGUUAUAAUUUCUUAUUUUGUUGUCUGUGUUCUACUUAUCAUAGUUAUAAAAAGGUAUGAGGUUUAUGUCCAUGAUGACAAAAGUUAUCAGACGGACGACGUUUAAUACAGACCCGAUGCGAAGGUCAGGAAGCUCGGGAUGGAGUAGUCAUUAGACGGCUGAAAACACUCACGGUAUUGUUAAGUGGGUCGGUGUGGUGAACGAAUUUUGGGAUGGGAAGGAGUUCGUACGGUGUUACCAUCGUCAAGGGGAAGGCGAUGUAGUGCUUCAAGGAGCUCUGAAUCUCCAAAUAAUUGCAUCUAUUAAAUUUAGGGUUCAAAUUCUUUUUUAUGUGUUAAAAAGUAAUUUGUCGUCUGCAGUCCAAAGUUGUUUAUAUAUUACUUCAUUUUUACUCUCAUAUGAAGUUCUUAAAUACUCACAUAUAGUUUUGUGUUUCAAGGAAGACCUUUCUUUGUUUUGUCGACGCAUCACUAGCUCAACUCCACACAACUAUAAAUUUUCUGACCGUAUUUGGAUUACUAAAUCAACCAGCCUAAGUUUUCAAGGUAGUCUCUUACUAAUUUCACAUCCCGAUUUUCAACGUUCUGCCAUAUUUAGCAUACUUGAAAUUUCUGUGACUUAAAAGAUACUUUAAAUUGGUGUAUGCAGGGGUUGUAUUGGUUCACGAAUGCUAACCUUGAAUCAGUGUAUUUGCAGUUUAUCUUGGUUCAGUAAUAAGAUGAUUUAUUAUGUUUACCUUCAAACUGUUUAAAUUCAUAUUGUCUUACUGCUUUUUGGUUGAAUACGGAAAUCUGUGGUGAAUAUGUUACAGAAUUUACAGUCUUAUUUCUUAUAGGUUUCUUGAAUUUAUUCUCCCAUGGUUUGUAGGUAUAACAAAAGUUUGCACAGUUAUUAGCCUAACCACUCAGCUUACUCGAAGGCUCCAUCGACACCAUGAAUAUUCCUUUUUAGGGUCCAAUCAGUUAACUCGCCGGUGAACAUGAAUAACUCUAACAUGCUGAAAUUAAUAACAAGAUUUGAAGUUGUGGUUGGGUUAACUAAAUUUUUCUAAAGAGAUUUAAGAAUCAAUUGCCGCCGUCACCAUCACCACCGCCAGAUCCGUUUUAGUGGAAUACAGACUCGAUGGCGCAGUCACAAAGCUCUAUCUUCUUACAAGCAACGGUUGUUGUUCUUACCCUUUCUAUUGAGAGGGAACAGGAAGGAAAGGCCCGAGAAAGCUAAGGAUGGAGAAUAUUUCCUUCUUUUUAAAGCGAAUAUGCACUUUAAAUUCGAGAAGCAGACAUGCCCGGGAUUGGAGAAUUUCAAUCUAAUUCAUUCUAAUAUGGAAACUAAAUUUAUCCAUCCAGGUUUAUCUGGCGUGGUUAAUCUGAACUUGAAUCAUUAUGGCAUUUGAGGAGGUAAAAUUUAGUAUUGUGCUUGUGCACGUUUUACACUCUUUAAAAAGUGGUGUUAUUUUAGCCCCUUCAUGCGAGCUGUAAUAUCCAUUACUCUUUUUCAAAAUUUAGUCUUUUCGAUUUCCUCAUAUACUCAAACUUAAUUUACACUUUAAAUACCACUAGGUACUAAAAAAUUUGUCCUAAGGGAGAAGAUGGCGGUGAUUACAUAGCCCUGCAUCCGUACUGACAUGGGUAAGACGUAGCUGUGUUCUUGCCUUACGCGAAGAAAAUUGUCCUUAAUUAAUCAAAAACAGUCAACAAAAGAAUUAGAAAAACCACUGUCAGUGUUAUAUCUGAAUCGUGGUACUAAUCUAGGUUUUGGGUGAGUUCAUUGUCAUUUCUCUUUCUUUGAACCCGAAUUGUAGGAAUUGGCAGUAAUUCUAGCGAUAAGGUACUGAUCUAGCGUACAUACGUAUUACUGUAUAGUAAUUUAUCAAUUUUAAUUGAUGUACGCGUUGGUUUUAAGCAGUACACGAGUUUUCUUUGCACUUAUUGGUUGCAACAACAUUAUUUAUAGCUGAGGUGAAGUAAGUCAUAGACUGGGGACUUAACUUGGUAGCCUAAACUAGAGAGAAUGUAAGUGAUUCAAAGUUGUUCAGUCGUCAUCUUUGAUGUACAAGACAACUCCUUCCAGCUAGGCAUUUUUCACCGUGUGCACAUUUUUGUAGUAGUCUCUUAAAUCUCAUCUUCAUGUUGUUGACAAUUAUUUUUUCACGCAGUUGGUGAUUUUCAAAUCCGAAUAUUUUUCAAGUGCCUUGGAUAGUUUGUGGCUGUCCAAGUGUUAAUGGUUAAAUAGUAUCCUUGCUUAGUUUCUUCUCCACUUUGUUUUAGUGGAUGGUUUUAUUAAUUCCAUAACAAACCUCACGUAGGCCUGCGAUCCAAUACAAUUAUCCUAGUAUAUGACCAUGUCCUUAUAAAGCACAAUAUCUUGGAUAUGAGCAUUUUCGUUUCUAUUUACAGUGAACCUGUACUACGUCCAUUGAAAAGGAGUAUUUUGUAUAUCCAACUGAUGAAUCGUCAUUAUCGACAGUUGCAAGCCCGUGCAAGGAGUCUUUCCUAGCCCACUAAGUAUACUUCUGAGUGUUUACGCUUUUGGGUUCUUUAUGUUUUUAUUUUUUCUUGGUUUUAAAGGUUCCCCUGCACUCCAGCAUAUCAAUGGGCAGCCAUAGUUAUGCUCUGUUACAGUUCAACCCUCCCGCAACAGCUUAUCUUUCUUAAAUGCUUUUAAAACUAUGUUAUAUUGCACUGGAGUCGCAGCAUCAAAGAUCCAUUAACGUAGUCUAUGGAGAGCAUCACCACAACUAAAAGUAAAAAUUCUUCCUCAGCUUUUUUUUACUACUCAUAUCAGAGUGCAGUCACAGUGAUUUGGUCCUUACAAAGAUCCAUUAUCAUUGUCUAAGGAGAGCAUGACCACCACUUAAAGCAAAAACUCUUCCUCACAUUUUUUUUGUUUACCACUGAGGUACUUCAUUCUAUAAACAAUCAAAUUUUUUGUCAUUUUUAAAUGUUACCUACAUUUCAUUUUUUUCCUCUCAGGGAUAUCAAAUUAUCAAUAUCAAUAAAAGGGUAUCAAAAUUAAGAUUUAGGAACAUUUAUGUAUGGAUUAUUAUACUUCCCUUAAAAUUGGGUGCAGUUUGUGCAUAAGAAAGUGAAAUAACCUUUUUAUUCUCAUGGUGUUUCUAUAGGAGAGCUAUUUGAAGUAACGCUGGACAGGUUGUUAACUUUGCUUAGGGGUUUUCAAGCUCAAGGGAAGCAUGUGCUUAUGUUUUUUGGUGGUAUCAGGUUAGUUACGAUCAGUUUUUGUUAGUUAUAGCAAGCCAUCAAGGGACAUACAUUUCAUUUUGUUAGGGUGUACGCAUAACAGAGAAGUGGAGGGGCAAGGCGUGGAUCCAUGGUUGUAAGUCAUAAGAUCAAUUUUAUCAAUUCCAUAUUUAUGAAGUUACAUCAUAUACAUGUUACGUGGAAUUUUACUAUCUUAGUUUCAUAUAUAGUUCGUGUUUUUAUACAACCAGUAGCCAUAUAGCAUGAGCUAUGUGGAUCCCAUGGCUGGAUUUUGGUAUCCAAACUAACUCCUGAUUUAUGUGCAUGAAUAUAAAUCUGUGGCGCAAUUGUAGCGCGUCUGAAGGUUAUGUGCUCGAAUCACGUCAGGUUCAGUGUCCCACUUUAAUUAUCUUGGAACACAUUGAAUAAAAUGGCAUACUUCCUAACUCUCUGUAAUAUUAGUAUCAUUAUCUCCAGCUUUAAUUAUCUUUAAGCCUAUAGUUGGGACAUUAGGUUUGUUAUUCAGCAUUUCUCCAAUGCAGUUGAGACAUGUGUUUAAAUUUUUUCUUGGUUCUUCGAUAACGCCUGCCUUCUAACGGUUAGUUGAUGUGAUUUCUGGGUUUUGCUUCGCAGGUGCUUAUUUCACAUUGAUGGGUUUUCGUGCUCUUACUUUGGUUGUCACGAGUAAAAUUUACAUCUCUUCUGCUGUUUCCUUCCACCCGCAAUGUGCUUCGUUCUAUCUGCAUAUCAAUUUGUGUUGUGUCUGCACUUGCAAAAGUAAGAGAAGCAAAAAAAGAAUAUCAUGAUAUAGCUGAGAAUAGUGCACAUGGUGAACUGAAAAUGAUUUCGUUUCACAUAAUAGAAGAAUUGCAGAAGGGAUUAAUGAAAUAAUUAGGGUACGUAAUUAGGGAAAGGAAUUGAUCGAUUAAUCGCAUUGAAACAAUUAGGGUAAGUAAUUCUCAGCUACAUUGUACAUUUCCACUGCUAAGAUAUCUAAAGGAUUUGGCAAGUAACCAUAAGGAUUUUUUUUGUUGUUUGUUUUUGUUUUUGAGAUUACAGAAUUGUUUAUUUGCUUACCAUUUCUACCCAACUAUGAACCCCAUGCAUAUAAUAUUGUGAUACUAAGUUCCGAUAGAUAAGAAUUGAGAUUAGUUUGCAUAUUAGAGAGGAAGAUGGGGAUUACUUGGAGAAGAUGAACCAAAAGUGACCGCUUGAGAAUAUUAGUCUGUGAUGUAGUACAAGAUCCAGUGAUGAUGUACUCUAAACUCACCAACUUCCCCAACCAAGUGGAUGUUGAAGUUUCACAAGUGACGAUGUAAUCACAUACGUACUUUUCUCACAUAAGCUUUGCUUGAUGCUUAAACUCUGUACAUAGUUUACUAUUGCGAAUAUCAGAAAAGAGUUCCACAAAUAAUGAAGAAGAGAAAGAUGUUGAGGAAAAACGAAGACAUGGAAAGUGAAGGAGACAAGACAACUUCUGAGUGGGAUGUUCUCAAUGGCAUUAAGUCUUUUCAUGGGGGGUUUUCUGUGUUUCUCUGAAUUGAAUUCAAUCGUUACUAUUGUGAAGUUAUAAGGGUUGAGAAUAAUUAUGGUAGAAUGGGAAUAAUCGAUAAAGAUAAUAAUAGUCAUGUGAUAAUCACGGUUGCUAUAUAUAGAUCGGGAGGUUCACAGUUGAAGGUGCUAUUAAUUUGAUUCUAGGUAUUAAUAAUCAAAGAGACAAUAUUUUUUGUUUGUUUGAAGGAAUGAGGAGCAUGAAAGCUCCAAACUUCAUUGAUUAAUAAAAUAUAAUUACAUAACAGUCA
This is a long non-coding RNA of Papaver somniferum (opium poppy), 5336 nucleotides long. RefSeq lists it as uncharacterized. NCBI's taxonomy places the organism in Eukaryota, Viridiplantae, Streptophyta, Magnoliopsida, Ranunculales, Papaveraceae. The transcript is spliced from 5 exons. The record is from RefSeq and is a predicted model, not a curated record.